Molecule: ribosomal RNA, 213 nt
Filed under: uncultured bacterium
Lineage: Bacteria
Description: partial 16S ribosomal RNA
Rfam family: Bacterial small subunit ribosomal RNA
Source: RNAcentral
GAUGAACGCUAGCGGCAGGCCUAAUACAUGCAAGUCGAACGGUAAGUAUGAUAGCAAUAUUGUACCAAGAGUGACGUACGGGUNCGUAACACGUAUGCAACCUACCCUUUANAGAUGGAUAGCUCGGGGAAACUCGAAUUAACCCGUCAUAGUAUAGUUGAAUGGCACCAUUUAAUUAUUAAAACUGAGGUGGUAAAGGAUGGGCAUGCGUCU